Molecule: transfer RNA, 69 nt
Filed under: Scymninae sp. 2 ACP-2013
Lineage: Eukaryota; Metazoa; Arthropoda; Insecta; Coleoptera; Coccinellidae
Description: tRNA-Met
Rfam family: tRNA
About the family: Transfer RNA (tRNA) molecules are approximately 80 nucleotides in length.
Source: RNAcentral
AUAAAAGGUAAGCUAAAUAAGCUAAUGGGUUCAUACCCCGUUUAUAAAGGUUUCACCCCUUUCCUUUUU